GCGCUCUUAGUUCAUUCGGUUAGAACGCGGGUCUCCAAAACCGAUGUCGUAGGUUCAAUCCUACAGAGCGUG
RNAcentral lists this transfer RNA (72 nucleotides) under Hordeum vulgare. Its description in RNAcentral is "tRNA-Trp". It matches the Rfam family "tRNA". Rfam says of the family: Transfer RNA (tRNA) molecules are approximately 80 nucleotides in length. Their secondary structure includes four short double-helical elements and three loops (D, anti-codon, and T loops). Further hydrogen bonds mediate the characteristic L-shaped molecular structure. tRNAs have two regions of fundamental functional importance: the anti-codon, which is responsible for specific mRNA codon recognition, and the 3' end, to which the tRNAs corresponding amino acid is attached (by aminoacyl-tRNA synthetases). tRNAs cope with the degeneracy of the genetic code in two manners: having more than one tRNA (with a specific anti-codon) for a particular amino acid; and 'wobble' base-pairing, i.e. permitting non-standard base-pairing at the 3rd anti-codon position. The record is from RNAcentral. Lineage: Eukaryota; Viridiplantae; Streptophyta; Magnoliopsida; Poales; Poaceae.